Molecule: transfer RNA, 72 nt
Filed under: Ruminococcus sp.
Lineage: Bacteria; Bacillati; Bacillota; Clostridia; Eubacteriales; Oscillospiraceae
Description: tRNA-Arg
Rfam family: tRNA
About the family: Transfer RNA (tRNA) molecules are approximately 80 nucleotides in length. Their secondary structure includes four short double-helical elements and three loops (D, anti-codon, and T loops).
Source: RNAcentral
GCCCCCAUAGUUAAAUGGAUAUAACGAAUCCCUCCUAAGGAUUAAUUAUCGGUUCGAUUCCGGUUGGGGGUG